RNAcentral lists this ribosomal RNA (596 nucleotides) under uncultured bacterium. RNAcentral's name for it is "bacterial SSU rRNA". It matches the Rfam family "Bacterial small subunit ribosomal RNA", at positions 66 to 663 of the family's 1533-position model. The record is from RNAcentral.
GGUAUAGUUCUUCGGGAUUAGAGACCGGCGCACGGGUGCGUAACGCGUAUGCAAUCUACCUUUCACAGAGGGAUAGCCCAGAGAAAUUUGGAUUAAUACCUCAUAGUAUAUAGUCCUGGCAUCAGGAUUAUAUUAAAGUCACAACGGUGAAAGAUGAGCAUGCGUCCCAUUAGCUAGUUGGUAAGGUAACGGCUUACCAAGGCUACGAUGGGUAGGGGUCCUGAGAGGGAGAUCCCCCACACUGGUACUGAGACACGGACCAGACUCCUACGGGAGGCAGCAGUGAGGAAUAUUGGACAAUGGGCGCAAGCCUGAUCCAGCCAUGCCGCGUGCAGGAUGACGGUCCUAUGGAUUGUAAACUGCUUUUGCACAGGAAGAAACACCCCUCGUGAGGGGGCUUGACGGUACUGUGAGAAUAAGGGAUCGGCUAACUCCGUGCCAGCAGCCGCGGUAAUACGGAGGAUCCAAGCGUUAUCCGGAAUCAUUGGGUUUAAAGGGUCCGUAGGCGGUUAAGUACGUCAGUAGGUGAAAGCCCAUCCGUCAACGGUGGAACGGCCAUUUGAUACUGGUAGACUUGAAUUAUAGGGAAGUUACUA